UACGUAGGGUGCGAGCGUUGUCCGGAAUUACUGGGCGUAAAGAGCUCGUAGGUGGUUUGUCACGUCGUCUGUGGAAUUCCGGGGCUUAACCUCGGGCGUGCAGGCGAUACGGGCAAUACUUGAGUGCUGUAGGGGAGACUGGAAUUCCUGGUGUAGCGGUGAAAUGCGCAGAUAUCAGGAGGAACACCAAUGGCGAAGGCAGGUCUCUGGGCAGUUACUGACGCUGAGGAGCGAAGGCGUGGGGAUCAAACAGGAUUAGAUA
RNAcentral lists this ribosomal RNA (262 nucleotides) under uncultured prokaryote. Its description in RNAcentral is "partial 16S ribosomal RNA". It matches the Rfam family "Bacterial small subunit ribosomal RNA", at positions 524 to 784 of the family's 1533-position model. The record is from RNAcentral.